AGAGCGGGUGCGAGGCGGGCACAAAGGGUCUCUGUUUUCGGGGGCUAAGUGGCACUCAGUUGAUCAAUUACCAGAUCAAUUGACUUCUCAAAUUCUAAUAUAAAUAAGAAUCACUUGACUCUCUUGUUAAAAUGCGGAUUCUGAUCCAGAAGGUCUGGGGUGGAGACCUGAGAUCCUGCAUUUCUAAUAAGCUCCCAGGUGGCGAUGACGAAGCUCUUGGUCGGAGGAUCACGCUUUGAAUUGCACCUGUCCGAAAGUAAUGGCUGUAGCCCCAGCUCCACGUAAUUUGAAACUUGCACGACCUUUCUUGUCCUUCUUCCACUGAUGAGAAGCGUUCCUGUGGCUACAUGGGGUGUCCCGGUGAUGCUUACAGUUUGGGCACCAGCUGAGGGAAGGUGUGUUUAAUCCCCACAUUACCCACCCUUGGUCUAUGGAGCAGCAAUCAUGCCAACUUGGUGACUGGAGUGUGGAACCAGAAGUGGAGACGGAAUGGCCAUGGAAGAGAACACUGUGUCUACGUUAAUCCUAAAGGGUUGGGCGUGUGUGUCUGAGUGGCGCGGUGCCAGACACUUGGCCAGAGAAGUGGUAUAAGUGGUCCCUGCUUCUCAAAACGUAACAAUUUGUUGUAGAACUAUACAGGCUAGUUCAGAAAGAAGCAUGUGGAGAAAACAUCCGGGAAGCUAACAGUCACAGCACAAAUUCAGGCAUAAGCUAAAGAGGUUGUAAAAUAAUAUGCCUUGAGGGUCUUAAAAACUGUCCAAAUAUUCUUCUGUCAGUAAUUCCAGAGUCUAGAAGUUAGGACUCCCACUGGCCCUGUCAUUUCUCAAAUUUGACCUAAGGACUCAGUGUUUUCGGACUGGCCAGCUAGAACCUUUGUCGUUCAGCGUAGCCAAGCUCUUAUUACCCAGUAGUGUACCGCCGUGGUUCAAGAUUCUUAAGUGCUGAAUUCUCCAAAACCUUCAUCUCUCAUCUCUUGAAACCAGGUGGUAUAACCCUGCUUCAGCAUUUCUCUCUCACUAUCAAGGUGAUCAAACUGUCGCUUAGAGAAAACUUCACCUUUGUCAGUGUGUCCUGAACUUCUCUGGCUUCUCAUCCCCAGAAGUGAAGCCCACCUAGCAAUCUCAGACAUUGUUCAUCACAUUGUCCCUAUCAGAGAUGGCAUCGCACAAAAUUCAGAGUUUCUGGGAACAUGUUAAACCUGUCACAGCAAUGGUUCUGGCUACAGCAGGAGUAAAGAAAUGUCUAAGCAAGAAAAAUGUUUUGAAAGCCUCAAAAAAAGUUUGUUUGCUGUCAUUAAACCAGUGGUUCUCAAGCCUAGCUGGAUGGUAAGUAUUUAUGGAAGUAGGUUGUGGGGCCCUGUGCCUGGAGAUUCUGAUUGGGAUGAGAAGUGGGGCUUGGGCAGCUAUAGGUUUAAAAAGUUCUACUGGCAAUUUGAUAUCCAUCCAUGCUUGAGAACACCUGCAUAAGCUGCUAGAUCGAUAGACGCAUUUUUUAACAGGGAAAACUAAACUCUGCAACACAAAUCACUAAUGACAUACACACUCUGAAAACAGAAGAAAGUUUCCACAUAAUUUUUGAGAACUGAUUUUUAAAGGCCAAAAGAAGCAACAAGAAACAAAGACUCUUGCUUGAGGAUGUGAAUUUGAAAAAAAAAAUCCAGGCUGUCGUUCAUCCUCUGUUUUUCAGUCUACUUGCCUCAUACAUAUAACCUGGUUUUCCUGUCUUGGGAAAUGGAUAUAUUAGUAACUUGAUAUGAGUUAGCUCAAACCAGGUUUCCUACCCCUUAGUCCAGAAAUUGCCCAGCAAGAGAUUUAGGUAUAUUUGAAAAGAAAGAAAAAGAUAAGAUAUAAGCCAUCCACCAUUUUGCCAAGUCCCAGAAAUCCACCCAUUGUUGUAUUAUUAUUAGAACCCCCAUAGACUGCUUUAUAAUUGCUAAUUACCUUUUUAUCUCUCUGACAAUAAAUAGCUUCUCUAAACUUAAUUGAUUUCAUUCAUGAAGACCGAUAGAUUACCCAAGGUUCUAGUCUCCAUCUGUCAUACAAAUCCUGGCAGGAUAACAUUUUGUGUCUAUGUAUCUGUGUUUUAAUAACUGAUACUUUUAUCCCUUUACUGUGACUGUGUACAGAUUUAACCCAACCACAAGGCAUUUUUGUAGAAAACUUGGUUUUCUUUAUAUUCUCUAUAACGAAUGUUAAGAAUAUUAAUAUUCGCUUUUAUAUUUUCACAAAACAAUUUAGACUUAAAAUAUGUGUAGAUAAUAUAUACCUCUCUGUACCUCCCCCAACUUAAGAAAUCAAGCAUUAUACAUACAGUUGAAGACCUCAUGUGCCCCUCCCAACAAGCUGAUUUUUUUUAAAUGGAGAUUUCAAAAUUUGCAAGCUUAUUCACCAAGGAGAGAUAAUGGUUUAUGGAAGGAACACCUAUCUCAUGCAUGUAAUAGGCAAUACAAGUGUAAAUGGGCAAAAGUCUUACUGAAUAAAAUGUUUGGACAUUCCAAACUGAUAUAAGAAAAAGCUAAGAAAGCUGGAAAUCACCUGUGGUUCAAAACCUGUGUCUUAACAAUUACAAACUGGACGUGGGAAGCAGGUAAGCUUCAGAAAACAACAGUUUGGAGCAGAGAUGAGGUAAGGAUUCAGGUUUCAUUCUUUCAAUCAACACACUACAUGAGCCUUGUCUUUUAGCUCAUUUUAAGAGAGGUAAGCUACCACAAUUCAAAAUAAAAACUUUUAUGUUACAAGCGAGGCGCAUAACACUGUAAGAUCGCGUAGAGAUGGAGUACCAAUUCUGACUGAUGAAAUCAGGGAAAGCUUUCUGCAAGAAAUUAUACGUGAACUGAAUUCCGGAGUUGUAGGAGUUAACCAGGUGUUGUGGACUGUUUCUCCCCAAAAUUCAUAUGUUGAAACCUCCCAUCCCCAGUGGAUGAUGUUGGGAGGUGGGGCCUUUGGGAGGUAAUUAGGAUUAGAUGAGGUUGUAACGGUAGAGCCCUCAUGAAUAGGAUUAAUGCCCUUUUUAAAGUCUCCAGAGACUUGCUUCUGCUCUCUGCCAUGUGAGGAUACAAUAAGAAGUCAGCAGACUGUCAUCCAGAAGAAGUCCCUCACCAGCACUUGUCCAUGCUGGUACCCUGAUCUCCAGCCUCUUGACCUGUGAAAAUAAAUUUCUGUUGUUUAUAAACCAUCCAGCUUAUGGCACUUUGCUAUAGCAGCCCGAAUGGACUAAGAUGCCAGCAAAGGGCAAAAGAAAGGGUGUUCUGGGCCUAGGGAACAGCCCACAUGAAAGCAUAAGAGCAUAGAGCAUUGGGAAAGAGAAAGUAGUGUUAUUUAACUGGGUUUAACAGGAGAAGGGGAAAAAAUGAUGAUUGAAAGGUGGGGCAAAGACCAGAAUUGAAAAAUUGCAAAUGCAUGAUAUGCCAUUCCUCCCUCCUCCUGUACAUAUGGCAGAUAAUCAAUCAUAGUAUUCAACUCUGUUAUAGUGAUUAUGAGUAAAA
This 3484-nucleotide long non-coding RNA is filed under the name Homo sapiens (human). RNAcentral describes it as "non-protein coding lnc-NPHP3-ACAD11-1:2". Lineage: Eukaryota; Metazoa; Chordata; Mammalia; Primates; Hominidae. The record is from RNAcentral.